RNAcentral lists this ribosomal RNA (503 nucleotides) under uncultured bacterium. RNAcentral describes it as "partial 16S ribosomal RNA". It matches the Rfam family "Bacterial small subunit ribosomal RNA", at positions 30 to 523 of the family's 1533-position model. The record is from RNAcentral.
AUUGAACGCUGGCGGCAGGCUUAACACAUGCAAGUCGAGCGGGGUGAUGGUGCUUGCACUAUCACUUAGCGGCGGACGGGUGAGUAAUGCUUAGGAAUCUGCCUAUUAGUGGGGGACAACAUCUCGAAAGGGAUGCUAAUACCGCAUACGUCCUACGGGAGAAAGCAGGGGAUCACUUGUGACCUUGCGCUAAUAGAUGAGCCUAAGUCGGAUUAGCUAGUUGGUGGGGUAAAGGCCUACCAAGGCGACGAUCUGUAGCGGGUCUGAGAGGAUGAGCCGCCACACUGGGACUGAGACACGGCCCAGACUCCGACGGGAGGCAGCAGUGGGGAAUAUUGGACAAUGGGGGGAACCCUGAUCCAGCCAUGCCGCGUGUGUGAAGAAGGCCUUAUGGUUGUAAAGCACUUUAAGCGAGGAGGAGGCUCUUUUGGUUAAUACCCAAGAUGAGUGGACGUUACUCGCAGAAUAAGCACCGGCUAACUCUGUGCCAGCCGCCGCUGUAA